Molecule: ribosomal RNA, 460 nt
Filed under: uncultured bacterium
Lineage: Bacteria
Description: partial 16S ribosomal RNA
Rfam family: Bacterial small subunit ribosomal RNA
Source: RNAcentral
CCUACGGGGUGCAGCAGUGAGGAAUAUUGGUCAAUGGACGAGAGUCUGAACCAGCCAAGUAGCGUGAAGGAUGACUGCCCUAUGGGUUGUAAACUUCUUUUAUAUGGGAAUAAAAUGUUCCACGUGUGGGAUUUUGUAUGUACCAUAUGAAUAAGGAUCGGCUAACUCCGUGCCAGCAGCCGCGGUAAUACGGAGGAUCCAAGCGUUAUCCGGAUUUAUUGGGUUUAAAGGGAGCGUAGGUGGAUUGUUAAGUCAGUUGUGAAAGUUUGCGGCUCAACCGUAAAAUUGCAGUUGAAACUGGCAGUCUUGAGUACAGUAGAGGUGGGCGGAAUUCGUGGUGUAGCGGUGAAAUGCUUAGAUAUCACGAAGAACUCCGAUUGCGAAGGCAGUUCACUGGACUGCAACUGACACUGAGGCUCGAAAGUGUGGGUAUCAAACAGGAUUAGAUACCCCAGUAGUC